GCCCCUGUUGUCUAAUGGUUAUGACGUCAGACUUCUAAGCCAUUAGCUUAUCUGGAGGUUGCGAGUUCGAGUCUCGCCAGGGGUU
This is a non-coding RNA of Crassisporium funariophilum, 85 nucleotides long. Lineage: Eukaryota; Fungi; Basidiomycota; Agaricomycetes; Agaricales; Crassisporiaceae. The record is from the annotation of a GenBank genome assembly.